Small nucleolar RNA from Grammomys surdaster, 143 nucleotides. RefSeq annotates it as small nucleolar RNA SNORA48. NCBI's taxonomy places the organism in Eukaryota, Metazoa, Chordata, Mammalia, Rodentia, Muridae. The record is from RefSeq and is a predicted model, not a curated record. The transcript has a single exon.
GGCCCCUGGCAAUGGGCAAAGAUACAUCUUGUUGGCAGUGUUGUUCUUAUUCAGUCAUGGGUAGAGCAGAUGGCAGUCCCUUGUUCAUCCUAGCUUGAUGCCUGGCAUGGUGGCCAAAGCUGUUUUAUGUCUAGGACACAUAA